Molecule: ribosomal RNA, 435 nt
Filed under: Cylindroiulus parisiorum
Lineage: Eukaryota; Metazoa; Arthropoda; Diplopoda; Julida; Julidae
Description: partial 16S ribosomal RNA
Rfam family: Bacterial large subunit ribosomal RNA
Source: RNAcentral
AUGGCCCCUUGGGAUUAUAUAAGGGGUUUGGCCUGCCCACUGAAGGUUUAAGGGCUGCAGUAUUUUAACUGUACAAAGGUAGCAUAAUCAUUAGUCUUUUAAUUGAGGACUUGUAUGAAAGGUUAGACAAAUAAAUUCUGUUUCGGUUAUAAUAAUUGAAUUUGACUUUUUUGUUAAAAGGCAAAAAUAUAUUUAAAAGACAAGAAGACCCUUUAAAACUUGAUUUAAGUUGUUUACUUAGGGUUAUAUUAAUGAAACAAUAAGGGGGAAUUAGAUUUUAUUGGGGCGAUAGGCAUAUAAAUAACUAUGUAAUAUAUUAAUAAUGUAAUUAGCCAGUAAUGUGAACCCUAAUUAUUAGGGGUUGUUAAAAUAAGUUACUUAAGGGAUAACAGCGUAAUGUAUUUUAAGAGUUCAUAUUGACAAGUAUGUUUGCGA